Long non-coding RNA from Heterocephalus glaber (naked mole-rat), 314 nucleotides. Lineage: Eukaryota; Metazoa; Chordata; Mammalia; Rodentia; Bathyergidae. The record is from Ensembl.
CCAACACAGCUGUUCCACAAGCAGGCUCCUGCAUCAUCGAAACAAUUGCCAUCUGAGCCCUGAUACCUUCCUUCCUACCAUUUAUGAGAUUAUGGUGUGGAUUUUGAACUGAAGACAUCAAUUAUCUGAGCUGUCUUUCCCAAAUUGGGGACCUUGCGCUUGCCCGGCAGGUGGCGGCACCACUGAGCUACAUCCCCACCCCAGGAUAUAUGAUCUUUAUGUGGCCUAUGCAUUUACUUAUAAAAAUAUUAAAAGUUUCUUGUACGUUAAACACAGUGUGAGGUGCUGAGAUUAUUGUGGUAAGUAUGACUUAU